CAUUCUUAUUUUUGUUAAUGCAGUUGCAACAAGCAAGUGUUGAUUUUCCCCAUAUUAAAGUANGAACACACAAAAUACACAUUUAUAAUAGGCAUGUAUGUAUGUAUGUAUGCAAAUCUCUAAGUCUCCAACUAAAAAGAGUUGAACUGCACACUCACUCAAGUAUUUUGUCAAAUAAAACAUACAUACAUCAUGCGUAAUAAAACACACAUUAAAAACUUUGGUCCCAUAUGAUUUGAAUGUAGAUUUUGGUGUGAGUUGUUUCUUAUAAAUGAGAUGAUCUAAUUGUCUAAUGUAUAUCUUAAUAUACAGUUUUCUUAAAAUAGCUUACUGAUCUGGACAAAUGUAUGUGUAUCUCAUAAAGGUGUGUGUUUGCUUUAGCUGCUUAAGAAAAUUAAAAUCUCUCUUUUUAAACUUGUAUAAACUAAAACACCCAUCUCUUUCUCUCUUUAGGGGAAGAUGUUAUCUUCACUCACCUGACUUCAAUUCUGGACAGCACACCCACACACACCCACAGUGACCAGAUCAGAUUCAUUAUGGAUGUCCAGAGGUAGGUCUUGUGUGUUAGUUGUGCUCUGCAUGGUGUCAUAUUCACAUUGUUUUUAAUGUCAAAUAGUUUAUCCAUAAUGUUAGACCAUUGCUCUAUAGUUUUGUGCUUAAUAUAGAAAAGGCACUUUUGAUUUUGUUGUUAAAAAAAAAAAAAAAAAAAAAAAAAAAACAUGCAAAAUGGUGCUUGGCUUAUUUGGGCUGUGAUAAAUCUCAAUUCUUUCUCUGGAAGUCCAUCACAUGUGCUCUUGCUGUUGUGGAACGUGUCCAUCUCGGAGGCUGAGGAGAAAUUCCUGCGAGGACCUGUCAUUGACGCAAGUGAGCGGGAGCACUUUGACAGCAGGAUAAAAAAACAAUUAAAGAAGAGUGGCAAGCCAUAUGAGAGUCAUCUACAGGAGUCAUGCUGUUAAGAAAUAACCAAGUCAUGGUGUUAAUAAAUAUUUUUUUUGUGAACA
Long non-coding RNA from Cyprinus carpio (common carp), 1001 nucleotides. NCBI's taxonomy places the organism in Eukaryota, Metazoa, Chordata, Actinopteri, Cypriniformes, Cyprinidae. The record is from Ensembl.